This 1248-nucleotide ribosomal RNA is filed under the name metagenome. Its description in RNAcentral is "bacterial LSU rRNA". It matches the Rfam family "Bacterial large subunit ribosomal RNA", at positions 1635 to 2875 of the family's 2925-position model. The record is from RNAcentral.
UAUACGACCGUACCGCAAACCGACACUGGUGCGCGAGAUGAGUAUUCUAAGGCGCUUGAGAGAACUCAGGAGAAGGAACUCGGCAAAUUGACACCGUAACUUCGGAAGAAGGUGUGCCCUAUUAGUGUGUAGUGAACAACGAAGCAUGAAUGGGUUGCAAAAAAUCGGUGGCUGCGACUGUUUAUUAAAAACACAGCACUCCGCAAACACGAAAGUGGACGUAUAGGGUGUGACGCCUGCCCGGUGCUGGAAGAUUAAAUGAUGGGGUGCAAGCUCUUGAUUGAAGUCCCAGUAAACGGCGGCCGUAACAAUAACGGUCCUAAGGUAGCGAAAUUCCUUGUCGGGUAAGUUCCGACCUGCACGAAUGGCGUAACGAUGGCCACACUGUCUCCUCCUGAGACUCAGCGAAGUUGAGAUGUUUGUGAUGAUGCAAUCUCCCCGCGGAAAGACGGAAAGACCCCAUGAACCUUUACUGUAGCUUUGUAUUGGACUUUGAACAGAUCUGUGUAGGAUAGGUGGGAGGCUUUGAAGCAGGGUCGCUAGAUCUUGUGGAGCCAACGUUGAAAUACCACCCUGGUGUGUUUGAGGUUCUAACCUAGGUCCAUUAUCUGGAUCGGGGACAGUGCAUGGUAGGCAGUUUGACUGGGGCGGUCUCCUCCCAAAGCGUAACGGAGGAGUUCGAAGGUACGCUAGUUACGGUCGGACAUCGUGACGAUAGUGCAAUGGCAUAAGCGUGCUUAACUGCGAGACUGACAAGUCGAGCAGAUGCGAAAGCAGGACAUAGUGAUCCGGUGGUUCUGUAUGGAAGGGCCAUCGCUCAACGGAUAAAAGGUACUCUGGGGAUAACAGGCUGAUACCGCCCAAGAGUUCAUAUCGUCGGCGGUGUUUGGCACCUCGAUGUCGGCUCAUCUCAUCCUGGGGCUGUAGCCGGUCCCAAGGGUAUGGCUGUUCGCCAUUUAAAGAGGUACGUGAGCUGGGUUUAAAACGUCGUGAGACAGUUUGGUCCCUAUCUUCCGUGGGCGCUGCAGAUUUGAGGAAGCCUGCUCCUAGUACGAGAGGACCGGAGUGGACACACCUCUGGUGUAUCGGUUGUCACGCCAGUGGCAUUGCCGAGUAGCUAAGUGUGGAAGAGAUAACCGCUGAAAGCAUCUAAGCGGGAAACUCGUUUCAAGAUGAGAUCUGCCGGGGCCUUGAGCCCCCUAAAGAGUCGUUCAAGACCAGGACGUUGAUAGGUCAGGUGUGGAAGUG